AUGCCUUUAAUGGCAAUAAUGGCUCGGGCGGCGGCUCAGGCGCCGGCGGCUUUCAUGGCCCGGGCGGCGGCUCAAAUUCCAAUCCUCAGAAUGUUCAAGGGGGCUUUAAUCAGCAGUCCGGCCAGGGUCAUCAACAACAACAGGGGGGGAUACCAGACCAAUCCAAAGCAGCUCAAUGGUGGACAGUACCAUGUGUUUACCACCAGUCUGUGUAAGCGAGAUCAGAAGCUUCACAAGAGGGCUGUGAAUGCUGUUGAGCCGGCGGUUCCACGCUAUUUAAGAUGGUCUGAGCAGCCUAUUGUGUGGAGUAGGGAGGAUCACCCUCCCCGGGUUGAUAAUCCGGAUCACUUGGCCCUGGUGGUGGCUCCUCAGGUGGGAGGAUAUAAGUUCACUAAGGUGCUCAUGGACGGAGGCAGCAGCAUCAACAUCCUCUAUUAUGAGACCUUCCGUCGUAUGGGGUUGAUUGAUAAGAACCUCAGCCAGUCCAAUACUGUUUUCCAUGGUGUGGUGUCUGGUAAGUCGGCUUAUCCAGUUGGUAAGAUCGAAUUGGAAGUGGCCUUUGGAGAUGAGUACAACUACAGGGUGGAAAAAUUGACCUUUGAGGUGGUCAAGAUAAGAAGUCUGUAUCAUGCCAUAUUUGGGCGGCCGGCUUACGCCAAGUUCAUGGCACGGCCGUGUUACAUAUACCUACAGCUCAAGAUGCCGGGUCACAAUGGGACCAUUACGGUUCAUGGUAGCCGAAAGAUAGCCUUGGAGUGUGAGGAAGGUGACACGGCUUAUGCAGAAUCUGUUUGUGCAACAGAGGAACUGAAGUUUUACAAGGAUAAUGUUGACCCAACAGAUAUGACAUCUCUGAAAAAGCCGACCACGGAGCAUCAGCCGGCAUUGAAAUUUAAGUCAGCUGAUGAGACUAAACUUGUUGAUUUCGUUCCAGGUGACUCAUCUCAGCAGUUUAGCAUCAAUGCCAAUUUGGAUCCGAAAUAG
Molecule: ribosomal RNA, 984 nt
Filed under: Triticum aestivum (bread wheat)
Lineage: Eukaryota; Viridiplantae; Streptophyta; Magnoliopsida; Poales; Poaceae
Description: partial small subunit ribosomal RNA
Source: RNAcentral